RNAcentral lists this ribosomal RNA (253 nucleotides) under uncultured bacterium. Its description in RNAcentral is "partial 16S ribosomal RNA". It matches the Rfam family "Bacterial small subunit ribosomal RNA", at positions 524 to 776 of the family's 1533-position model. The record is from RNAcentral.
UACGAAGGGGGUUAGCGUUGCUCGGAAUGACUGGGCGUAAAGGGCGCGUAGGCGGUUUGCACAGUCAGAUGUGAAAUUCCUGGGCUCAACCUGGGGGCUGCAUUUGAUACGUGUAGACUUGAGUGGGGAAGAGGGUCGUGGAAUUCCCAGUGUAGAGGUGAAAUUCGUAGAUAUUGGGAAGAACACCGGUGGCGAAGGCGGCGACCUGGUCCGACACUGACGCUGAGGCGCGAAAGCGUGGGGAGCAAACAGG